RNAcentral lists this non-coding RNA (178 nucleotides) under Chloroflexota bacterium. RNAcentral's name for it is "6S RNA". It matches the Rfam family "6S / SsrS RNA". From Rfam's summary of the family: E. coli 6S RNA was the first non coding RNA to be sequenced, but its function was unknown until recently. It consists of 184 nucleotides that fold into an extended hairpin structure with a large single-stranded internal bulge. Lineage: Bacteria; Bacillati; Chloroflexota. The record is from RNAcentral.
UUGGACCUGCUGUAUUCGUGAUAGAACUAUAUGUGCCGAGCCAACAUUAUUUUGACGGGAGUCUAUCUUUGGUAGCUAAUGUAAUAGGCCCGAGCCAAAACAGAGGUUAUCGAGCGAAUCCCAACCUGUAAUUUUGCAGGUUCGCGACACUAUGGCUACACGGUACAGUGGGCCCCGA